Long non-coding RNA from Cydia splendana, 1975 nucleotides. RefSeq lists it as uncharacterized. The record is from RefSeq and is a predicted model, not a curated record. The transcript has 2 exons. NCBI's taxonomy places the organism in Eukaryota, Metazoa, Arthropoda, Insecta, Lepidoptera, Tortricidae.
GUUGUGUGUUGUUAGAAUGUUCAAAUGUCUUCACAAAUGGCUACUGCAGCUGCUUGAGGGGAGUCCUCACCAGGCUGGAUGGUGCAAGGAAUUCGUGGCAGUGAAAGAAAUCUGUGGUGGGAGAUGACUGCAGGUAGUAUGUUAAAAGUGGCCAAGUUGGAUGCUGCAUGUACCACUAUGAGAAAAGUUAAGUAUUCUCAACACAAGUUCUUUGUUUCACCAAGUUGAAGUAUUUGGCUGUUUCAUGCAAGCAAAUCAUAAUAAUACUACAUCCCAUUUUAUUGAAAAUCUGACAAGGUCAUAGAAUAAUAGUAAUAAUAUAAUGGCAUUACAUAUGUGUUAUAAAAGAUAAAAUAGAAUAAAUUUUUGGGGUAUUGUCAUGAAGGUGAAGGUGAAGGUGGUAAAUGGCUUACUAAAGCUCAUACAGUAUUGGAAUACCUACACCUUAAGCUAAUAAAUUGUACUUACACAUGUUUUAUUCACAUUACUUAUUCUAACAAAACCCUUUUUAUGUGAGGGAUAGUGUCAAUACUUCAUAAAGAAUCUUGAUAGAGUAUGCGACAUGUCUUGUGUGUGUAUCUUGAUGUAAUUGAAGCCAAGAUCAUUAUUUUAUAACCCGCCUGUGCAAUGUUCCACUGCUGGGCAUAGGUCUUCCAUGGGAGACAUUAAAUCUAUCCUGAUCAAAUAAUAUGUUUAUAAAUUAUUAGAAAAUAUUGAGUGAGCCAAGGAUAGUUGAACUAUAAUUUCAAAAGUUGAAUCCAAAUAUGAUUUGUUAUGACACAGUUAUUGCCCUGAGUUAUGGUUGCAGAAUGUACUUCCUGAGCCGCGGUGCGAGUCUGUGCGCCUGCAUGACGGUGCGGGUCUGCCUGCCUGAGCGGCGGUGCGAGUCUGCGCGCCGACCGAUGGUGCGAGUCUGCACACCUGAGCGGCGGUGCGAGACUGAGGCAGCCGUGUGAUAGCGGGACUAAGUCCCAUCUAUAUGCUCAAAGAGCCACCGAUACAAAUGUACACCGAUACAAACCUAUAUAACAAAAAAAAAACUAACAAAAAAAAAAUACAAAUAUAUAAAUACACAAAAAAAAAGGGAGGCUUAGCAAGCCUAUGAGACGUAUCAGCUUGGCGAGCCAUGAUACGAAUGCUUAGCGAGCCUGUGAGACGUAUCAGCUUAACGAGCCCAUGAUACGAAUGCUUAGCGAGCCUGUGAGACGUAUCAGCUUAACGAGCCCAUGAUACGAAUGCUUAGCGAGCCUGUGAGACGUAUCAGCUUAACGAGCCCAUGAUACGAAUGCUUAGCGAGCCUGUGAGACGUAUCAGCUUAACGAGCCCAUGAUACGAAUGCUUAGCGAGACUGUGAGACGUAUCAGCUUAACGAGCCCAUGAUACGAAUGCUUAGCGAGCCUGUGAGACGUGUCAGCUUAGCGAGCCAUGAUACGAAUGCUUAGCGAGCCUGUGAGACGUAUCAGCUUAGCCAGCCCAUGAUACGAAUGCAUAAAGAGCCUAUGUUACAAAAAUUCUUAAAGAGCCUAUGUUACAAAAAUUCUUAAAGAGCCUAUUACAAUUCUGCUUAGAGAGCCCAUUAUACAAGUAAGCUUAAAGAGCCCGUGUAACGUAUCAGCUUAAAGAGCCUAUGAUACUAAUGCUUAGAGAGCCCAUUAUACAAGUAAGCUUAAAGAGCCCGUGUAAUGUAUCAGCUUAAAGAGCCUAUGAUACAAAUGCUUGGAGAGCCCAUUAUACAAGUAAGCUUAAAGAGCCCGUGUAAUGUAUCAGCUUAAAGAGCCUAUGAUACAAAUGCUUAGAGAGCCCAUUAUACAAGUAAGCUUAAAGAGCCCGUGUAAUGUAUCAGCUUAAAGAGCCUAUGAUACAAAUGCUUAGAGAGCCCAUUAUACAAGUACGCUUAAAGAGCCUAUGAUGCAAAUGCUUAAAGAGCCCAUGUUACAAAUCUGCUUAAAGAGCCCAUGUUACAAAUCUGCUUAAA